GAGGGAGCCUGAGAAACGGCUACCACAUCUACGGAAGGCAGCAGGCGCGCAAAUUGCCCAAUCCUGACACGGGGAGGCAGUGACAAGAAAUAACAACUCUAGGAUUUCUUAGAAGUGUAAUGAGGAUAAUUUACAAACCUUACCGAAUGCAAUUGGAGGGCAAGUCUGGUGCCAGCAGCCGCGGUAAUUCCAGCUCCAAUAGCGUAUAUUAAAGUUGUUGCAGUUAAAAAGCUCGUAGUUGAAGUUCUGAUUGCUCAGGUUUCCAGCCUUAGGCGGAGAUACUGACAGUCAUCCGCUUGCAAACAUAUGUUCGAUCUUCACCGGUUGGCUAUGUGAGUAAGCACUUUUACCUUGAGAAAAACAGAGUGUUCCAGGCAGGUUUGUCCGGGAUGCAUUAGCAUGGAAUAAUAGAACAUGACUGAAGUCGAUUUAUUGGUUUAAGGCUUUAGUAAUGAUUAAUAGGAAC
RNAcentral lists this ribosomal RNA (466 nucleotides) under uncultured eukaryote. RNAcentral's name for it is "SSU rRNA". It matches the Rfam family "Eukaryotic small subunit ribosomal RNA", at positions 388 to 879 of the family's 1831-position model. The record is from RNAcentral.